AAAGACUAAAAUUACCUUCUGAGUUCUGACUCGGUCAACACUCAAUACUAAGGUUUAGGGUUCUGAUAUCCACUAUAAAAGAGAAGGCGCCUAAAAGAUUGUUCCGGUUCACACUCUCGUCGAGAGAGGCUGAAGGAUCGAACUUCGGCCAUUGUUCUUCUGAGGCAAAGCUCGUUCGCCAUCGACAAUGAGAGCUAAGUGGAAGAAGAAGCGUAUGAGGAGGCUCAAGAGAAAGCGCAGAAAGAUGAGACAGAGGUCUAAGUAGUUGCAGAUAUCUGGAAAAUGAUCGAGCUUUCUCCUUAAAGUGCCUAUUUUCUCCAUUGCUGUCUAGCAUUAGGUGCUUGAAGUGGUGGAGAUUCUAGUGUUCUUCUGAAGAUAGUUUUGCACCAUUUCCUUUGGUUUUUAUUACUUUGCAUAACCUUAUAUGGUUUGACUUGCUUUCCUUUUAAUAUCCAGUUUGUUCAGACUGAAUAUCAAUUUAUGUGGCCUUCUUAGCUUA
This is a long non-coding RNA of Cucurbita moschata (crookneck pumpkin), 499 nucleotides long. RefSeq lists it as uncharacterized. The record is from RefSeq and is a predicted model, not a curated record. The transcript is spliced from 2 exons. Lineage: Eukaryota; Viridiplantae; Streptophyta; Magnoliopsida; Cucurbitales; Cucurbitaceae.